AGAGUUUGAUCCUGGCUCAGGACGAACGCUGGCGGCGUGCCUAACACAUGCAAGUCGAACGGACGAGGCCCUUCGGGGCCGAGUUAGUGGCGAACGGGUGAGUAACGCGUGAACAACCUGCCUCUUUGAGGGGGAUAACACCUGGAAACAAGUGCUAAUACCGCAUAAGACCACAUUACCGCAUGGUAAAGGGGUCAAAGGAGAAAUCCGCAGAGAGAGGGGUUCGCGUCCCAUUAGCUAGUUGGCGGGGCAACGGCCCACCAAGGCGACGAUGGGUAGCCGAGCUGAGAGGCUGAUCGGCCACACUGGAACUGAGACACGGUCCAGACUCCUACGGGAGGCAGCAGUGGGGAAUAUUGGGCAAUGGGCGAAAGCCUGACAAUGCGACGCUGCGUGGAGGAUGGAGGCCUUCGGGUCGUAAACUCCUGUCAUGGGGGAACAGGCGAGCGGACCCAACACGUCCGCGGGUUGAGUGUACCCCAAGAGGAAGCGACGGCUAACUCUGUGCCAGCAGCCGCGGUAAUACAGAGGUCGCGAGCGUUGUUCGGAUUUACUGGGCGUAAAGGGCGCGUAGGCGGCCGCGCGUGUCAGAUGUGAAAUCUCCGGGCCCAACCCGGAAAGUGCGUCUGAGACUGCGCGGCUCGAGUGCGGAAGGGGGAAUCGGAAUGCAGGGUGUAGCGGUGAAAUGCGUUGAUAUCCUGCAGAACACCGGAGGCGAAGGCGGAUUCCUUGUACGCGACUGACGCUGAGGCGCGAAAGUCGGGGGAGCGAACAGGAUUAGAUACCCUGGUAGUCCCGACCUUAAACGGUGCACGCUCGGGGUGGGGCCCUUUCACCGGCCCCGUCCCUCAGCUAACGCGUUAAGCGUGCCGCCUGGGGAGUACGGCCGCAAGGCUAAAACUCAAAGAAAUUGACGGGGGCCCGCACAAGCAGAGGAGCAUGUGGCUUAAUUCGAUGCAACGCGAAGAACCUUACCUGGGCUUGACAUGUGCCUGCGCGGCCCGCGAAAGCGGGCCUCCUUCGAGGGGGGCACACAGGUGCUGCAUGGCUGUCGUCAGUUCGUGCCGUGAGGUGUUUGGUUAAGUCCACCAACGAACGCAACCCCUUUGCGAUGUUGCCAGCGGGUCAUGCCGGGGACUCGUCGCAGACUGCCCGUUCACGCGGGAGGAAGGUGGGGAUGACGUCAAGUCAGUAUGGCCCUUACGCCCAGGGCCGCACACGUGCUACAAUGGCGCAUACAGAGCGACGCGAGGCCGCGAGGCGGAGCGAGCCGCGCAGAGUGCGCCCCAGUUCGGAUCGGGGUCUGCAACCCGACCCCGUGAAGUCGGAUUUGCUAGUAACGGCGCAUCAGCUACGGCGCCGUGAAUGCGUUCCCGGGCCUUGCACAAACCGCCCGUCA
RNAcentral lists this ribosomal RNA (1399 nucleotides) under uncultured bacterium. RNAcentral's name for it is "bacterial SSU rRNA". It matches the Rfam family "Bacterial small subunit ribosomal RNA". The record is from RNAcentral.